CAGAGUUCUUUGCAACUCCCAACCCUGUGAACUUUAUCUAAUACGUUGUUGCUUCUGGCGGGCAGCCUUCGGGGUGCCUGCCAGCGGUGACCUGCUCCAACCUUCUUUUGUAUCUUUUUUACUGUCUGAGCUUCUAAAAAAAAAUAAAUCA
RNAcentral lists this unclassified non-coding RNA (151 nucleotides) under uncultured Ophiostomatales. RNAcentral's name for it is "sequence contains ITS1". The record is from RNAcentral. Lineage: Eukaryota; Fungi; Ascomycota; Sordariomycetes; Ophiostomatales.